Molecule: ribosomal RNA, 682 nt
Filed under: uncultured bacterium
Lineage: Bacteria
Description: bacterial SSU rRNA
Rfam family: Bacterial small subunit ribosomal RNA
Source: RNAcentral
GGCUUAGAGUUUGAUCAUGGCUCAGGACGAACGCUGGCGGCGUGCUUAACACAUGCAAGUCGAACGGGGUGUUUAUUGCGGUAAACACCAAGUGGCGAACGGGUGAGUAACGCGUAAGCAAUCUACCUUCAAGAUGGGGACAACACUUCGAAAGGGGUGCUAAUACCGAAUGAAUGAGAGAUGACCGCAUGGAUAUUUCUCUAAAGGAGGCCUCUGAAAAUGCUUCCGCUUGAAGAUGAGCUUGCGUCUGAUUAGCUAGUUGGUGAGGGUAAAGGCCCACCAAGGCGACGAUCAGUAGCCGGUCUGAGAGGAUGAACGGCCACAUUGGGACUGAGACACGGCCCAGACUCCUACGGGAGGCAGCAGUGGGGAAUCUUCCGCAAUGGGCGAAAGCCUGACGGAGCAACGCCGCGUGAAUGAAGAAGGUCUUAGGAUCGUAAAGUUCUGUUGUUAGGGGCGAAGGGCAACAUUUUGAAUAAGGGUGUUGUUUGACGGUACUUAACGAGGAAGCCACGGCUAACUACGUGCCAGCAGCCGCGGUAAUACGUAGGCGGCAAGCGUUGUCCGGAAUUAUUGGGCGUAAAGGGAGCGCAGGCGGGAAGUUAAACGGACUUUAAAAGUGCGGGGCUCAACCCCGUGAGGGGGUCCGAACUGACUUUCUUGAGUGCAGGAGAGGGAAGCG